Molecule: ribosomal RNA, 353 nt
Filed under: uncultured bacterium
Lineage: Bacteria
Description: bacterial SSU rRNA
Rfam family: Bacterial small subunit ribosomal RNA
Source: RNAcentral
GGACCCGCACAAGCGGUGGAGCAUGUGGUUUAAUUCGAUGCAACGCGAAAAACCUUACCUACUCUUGACAUACUUGGAAGCUCUUGUAAUGAGAGUGUGCCUUUUGGAACCAAGAUACAGGUGCUGCAUGGCUGUCGUCAGCUCGUGUCGUGAGAUGUUCCGUUAAGUCGGAUAACGAGCGCAACCCUUACCCUUAUUUGCCAGCGAUUCGGUCGGGAACUAUAAGGGGACUGCCGGUGAUAAACCGGAGGAAGGUGAGGACGACGUCAAGUAUCAUGGCCCUUACGAGUAGGGCUACACACGUGCUACAAUGGGGAAUACAGACGGCUGCAAAACCAGCGAUGGGGAGCUAA